AACCAUAGAAACCUGCGGAGUACCUGCGGAAGGAUCAUUACAGAGUUGCAAAACUCCCACAAACCAUCGCGAAUCUUACCCGUACGGUUGUCUCGGCGCUGGCGGUCCGGAAGGCCCUCGGGCCCCCGGACCCUCGGGUCCCCCGCUCGCGGGGGGCUGCCCGCCGGAGUGCCGAAACCAAACUCUUGAUAUUUUAUGUCUCUCUGAGUAAACUUUUAAAUAAGUCAAAACUUUCAACAA
RNAcentral lists this unclassified non-coding RNA (240 nucleotides) under soil metagenome. RNAcentral's name for it is "partial contains 5.8S ribosomal RNA, internal transcribed spacer 2, and large subunit ribosomal RNA". The record is from RNAcentral.